RNAcentral lists this ribosomal RNA (231 nucleotides) under uncultured Enterobacterales bacterium. RNAcentral describes it as "partial 16S ribosomal RNA". It matches the Rfam family "Bacterial small subunit ribosomal RNA", at positions 99 to 334 of the family's 1533-position model. Lineage: Bacteria; Pseudomonadati; Pseudomonadota; Gammaproteobacteria; Enterobacterales. The record is from RNAcentral.
CGGACGGGUGAGUAAUGCUGGGAAACUGCCUGAUGGAGGGGGAUAACUACUGGAAACGGUAGCUAAUACCGCAUAACGUCGCAAGACCAAAGAGGGGGACCUUCGGGCCUCUUGCCAUCAGAUGUGCCCAGAUGGGAUUAGCUAGUAGGUGGGGUAACGGCUCACCUAGGCGACGAUCCCUAGCUGGUCUGAGAGGAUGACCAGCCACACUGGAACUGAGACACGGUCCAG